RNAcentral lists this ribosomal RNA (479 nucleotides) under uncultured bacterium. RNAcentral's name for it is "partial 16S ribosomal RNA". It matches the Rfam family "Bacterial small subunit ribosomal RNA", at positions 28 to 523 of the family's 1533-position model. The record is from RNAcentral.
GACGAACGCUGGCGGCGUGCUUAACACAUGCAAGUCGAGCGAUGAAGCACCUUCGGGUGUGAAUUAGCGGCGAACGGGUGAGGAACACGUGAAGAAUCUGCCUUCAACUCUGGGAUAACUCCGGGAAACCGGGGCUAAUACCGGAUAUGAGCCUUGAUCGCAUGAUCGGGGCUGGAAAGUUUUUCGGUUGAAGAUGACUUCGCGGCCUAUCAGCUUGUUGGUGAGGUAAUGGCGCACCAAGGCGACGACGGGUAGCCGGCCUGAGAGGGCGAGCGGCCACACUGGGACUGCGACACGGCCCAGACUCCUACGGGAGGCAGCAGUGGGGAAUAUUGGGCAAGGGAGGAAACUCUGACCCAGCGACGCCGCGUGAGGGAUGUAGGCCUUCGGGUUGUAAACCUCUUUCAGUAGGGAAGAAGCGAAAGUGACGGUACCUACAGAAGAAGCACCGGCUAACUAUGUGCCAGCCGCCGCCGUAA